RNAcentral lists this unclassified non-coding RNA (1302 nucleotides) under Hevea brasiliensis (rubber tree). Lineage: Eukaryota; Viridiplantae; Streptophyta; Magnoliopsida; Malpighiales; Euphorbiaceae. The record is from RNAcentral.
GGCUCAGCAGCUUGGGCCCUGGGCCAAGCUCACUCGUGUCUCUCUUCCCAUUCCCUCACCGUCACCGUCUUCAAAGCCGCAACACAGAAGCAACUCCUCGCCGCGGCACAAGACAACGUCGCCUGCCUUCAACCUCGCUGCAUCACUGAAGCAACUCGUCGGUGCUCCUCGCAGCUACUGCAGGAGUGGACGUUCUCUUUAUAGCCUCCUUUAUUGCAGGGUUCAGCUUUUCCAGUAGAUAGCAUCAAAAGAUAGGCAGAUGAAGUCAGUGGUGGGGAUGGUGGUGUCUAAUAAGAUGCAGAAGUCAGUGGUGGUGGCCGUCGAUAGGCUCUUCCACCACAAGAUCUACAACCGCUAUGUCAAACGCACCUCCAAGUUCAUGGCACAUGACGAGCACAACCUUUGCAACAAUGGCGAUCGAGUUAGACUGGAUCCUUCUAGGCCAUUAAGCAAGCGAAAGCAUUGGGUUGUUGCUGAAAUUCUGAAGAAAGCACGGAUUUAUGUGCCACCAUCCGCUGAUAACCCUGUGGGUUUAGAUAGCAAAACUGAAGUGCAAACUUCUUCAACCUCUUGAGCUUAGAUCAAAUUCAAUGUGCCUUCUGGGUUUGUCUUUCAAUUUCAUUUUGUUUUAUGUUGCAAAUAAUGAUAAGUAUAAUGAAUUGUGCAAAUGUAUAAGCUAAUGGUCAUAGGUUUCACAAUUUCGAAAGUAGUAUCAUUAAAUGUAUAACCCAUAUUAGUUUGUGGGCCUUUUAAGAUGCUAUCUCAUUUGUCUAGACAUGGGCUUUUUUAAAUUCUUGUUUAAAUAAUCAGGAAAAAUUGUGGAAAAUAGGGUACACUUAGCAUCUUGCUUUGAUUUGUGUUGGCUACAUGUUUCAGGACUUCUUAAAUAAUGUUAUGUGGUUUAGGCCCUUGGAGUGCUAGAAUGGAAUCAUAGUAGCAUGUAGUGGAAAAUGGUAAAACCACAAGCGGAGGUCUUGUGCUUGUGUAUGGAAAAUAGUAGCUGAUUCUAUAUUUUAUUUCUUUAUGACAGGUCGAUAUACAUUUCUUUCAAGAUACCUGGAAAUCAAGAUAGCCAACUCCUAAAGAGUUGCUAAGAAAGGAGCAUUCAAGAUGGUUCUUUGUUUACUUCCAAUUUUGUAUGCUAUUCUGUUUCAAAAAUAGCUGGAACUCCAUGUUGGUAACUUGUUGAUGAUGAGAAUUGAUUUUUUUUGCAUAUUCUGUCUCAAUAAGUCUUUCAGGAACUCCUUUUCCCCCUCCUCCCUCUCGUUCAAUAGUACAAGUUUUAUAUAUAUAAUAAGUUCG